AAGCCGGAAUUGCUAGUAAUGGCAGGUCAGCAUACUGCCGUGAAUACGUUCCCGGGCCUUGUACACACCGCCCGUCACACCAUGAGAGUUGGGGAUACCCGAAGCCUGUGAGCCAACAGUUAAAUGGGGCAGCAGUCGAAGGUAGAAUCAAUGAUUGGGGUGAAGUCGUAACAAGGUACC
This 180-nucleotide ribosomal RNA is filed under the name uncultured bacterium. RNAcentral describes it as "partial 16S ribosomal RNA". It matches the Rfam family "Bacterial small subunit ribosomal RNA", at positions 1323 to 1500 of the family's 1533-position model. The record is from RNAcentral.